Molecule: non-coding RNA, 73 nt
Organism: Zootermopsis nevadensis
Lineage: Eukaryota; Metazoa; Arthropoda; Insecta; Blattodea; Termopsidae
Source: Rfam
GCCACGGUGGUCUAGCUGUUAGAACGCUGGCCUUGUAAUCCUGGGGUCUCGGGUGCGAUUCCUGACGGUGCCG